Molecule: small nuclear RNA, 104 nt
Organism: Ailuropoda melanoleuca (giant panda)
Lineage: Eukaryota; Metazoa; Chordata; Mammalia; Carnivora; Ursidae
Source: Ensembl
GUACUUGCUUUGGGAACACGUAUACUAAAAUUGGAAUGAUACGGAGCUUAGCAUGGCCCAUAUGCAAAGAUGGCCCAGAAAUUCAUGCAGCGUUCCAUAAUUUU